Non-coding RNA from Theobroma cacao (cacao), 926 nucleotides. NCBI's taxonomy places the organism in Eukaryota, Viridiplantae, Streptophyta, Magnoliopsida, Malvales, Malvaceae. The record is from RefSeq and is a predicted model, not a curated record.
AAAAAUGAUACUAAAGCCUUGCGGGGUUCCGGUUGCACUUAGGGUAACAAAUGUUUACCAAGACGUCGCGACGGUUGUCAGGGCUCGAGAGGAGUACCGGGUCAUGACAGUUGGAAUAAUGCCAAAAAAGCAUUUACAUCAUGAAUCCCAGUUGCUCUCCUAUGCAUUGCUCACUCUGUUGGCCACUGGUAGUUGUUCGCAACCAUCUUCCAACAAAUCAUAUGCCUCAUCAAUCAAUUUAGCCAUUAAAGCUCUUCCCUUAACGGCAUCAAUAGUGGUUCGAACCUACCCACUUAGACCAUAGUAGAAAGUUUGCACUUGAAGCCACUUUGGAAGACUAUGAUGAAGACAACGUCUAUGUAAUUUCUUAUAUCUUUCCCAAGCUUCGUACAACGAUUCAGAAUCUUCUUGCAUGAAUGAUGUAAUAUCAUUCCUCAUUUUCACUAUCUUAGCCGAAAGAAAGAACUUGGCAAGGAACUUUUGAGCAAAUCAUCCCAUGUUGUUAUUGAGCUUGUGGGGAGCGCAUUUAGCCAUGUUUUAGCUUUAUCCUUCAAUGAAAAAGGAAAAAGCCUCAAAGGAAUUACAUCAUCUAUGACACCAUUAUGUUUGAACGUAUCACAAAUUUCCAAAAAAGUUUGAUAUAUGGCUAUUUGGAUCAUCAUUUAGAAGGCCCCUAAAUUGUACUAAGGCUUGAAUCAUGGUGAUGAUAACCGGCUUGAUCUCAAAAUUAAUAGCUUGAAUAGCUAGCCUUCGAAUGCUUGAUGGAAUCCCUUACACCAAUGGGAUAGCAUAAUCCCUUAAGCAUUGAUUUUCAACUGUUACGUGCUCUUAGAUAUGUUGUUUACCCUGCUGGUCAGCCAUUGUAUUUAUUGGAGCAAAACCUUGUUGAUUUUCUCGUCGAAGUCUAUGAAAUGUUAUCUCAAUUU